Molecule: ribosomal RNA, 1443 nt
Filed under: Klebsiella sp.
Lineage: Bacteria; Pseudomonadati; Pseudomonadota; Gammaproteobacteria; Enterobacterales; Enterobacteriaceae
Description: bacterial SSU rRNA
Source: RNAcentral
UGGCUCAGAUUGAACGCUGGCGGCAGGCCUAACACAUGCAAGUCGAGCGGUAGCACAGAGAGCUUGCUCUCGGGUGACGAGCGGCGGACGGGUGAGUAAUGUCUGGGAAACUGCCUGAUGGAGGGGGAUAACUACUGGAAACGGUAGCUAAUACCGCAUAACGUCGCAAGACCAAAGUGGGGGACCUUCGGGCCUCAUGCCAUCAGAUGUGCCCAGAUGGGAUUAGCUAGUAGGUGGGGUAACGGCUCACCUAGGCGACGAUCCCUAGCUGGUCUGAGAGGAUGACCAGCCACACUGGAACUGAGACACGGUCCAGACUCCUACGGGAGGCAGCAGUGGGGAAUAUUGCACAAUGGGCGCAAGCCUGAUGCAGCCAUGCCGCGUGUGUGAAGAAGGCCUUCGGGUUGUAAAGCACUUUCAGCGGGGAGGAAGGCGAUAAGGUUAAUAACCUUGKCGAUUGACGUUACCCGCAGAAGAAGCACCGGCUAACUCCGUGCCAGCAGCCGCGGUAAUACGGAGGGUGCAAGCGUUAAUCGGAAUUACUGGGCGUAAAGCGCACGCAGGCGGUCUGUCAAGUCGGAUGUGAAAUCCCCGGGCUCAACCUGGGAACUGCAUUCGAAACUGGCAGGCUAGAGUCUUGUAGAGGGGGGUAGAAUUCCAGGUGUAGCGGUGAAAUGCGUAGAGAUCUGGAGGAAUACCGGUGGCGAAGGCGGCCCCCUGGACAAAGACUGACGCUCAGGUGCGAAAGCGUGGGGAGCAAACAGGAUUAGAUACCCUGGUAGUCCACGCCGUAAACGAUGUCGAUUUGGAGGUUGUGCCCUUGAGGCGUGGCUUCCGGAGCUAACGCGUUAAAUCGACCGCCUGGGGAGUACGGCCGCAAGGUUAAAACUCAAAUGAAUUGACGGGGGCCCGCACAAGCGGUGGAGCAUGUGGUUUAAUUCGAUGCAACGCGAAGAACCUUACCUGGUCUUGACAUCCACAGAACUUUCCAGAGAUGGWUUGGUGCCUUCGGGAACUGUGAGACAGGUGCUGCAUGGCUGUCGUCAGCUCGUGUUGUGAAAUGUUGGGUUAAGUCCCGCAACGAGCGCAACCCUUAUCCUUUGUUGCCAGCGGUUMGGCCGGGAACUCAAAGGAGACUGCCAGUGAUAAACUGGAGGAAGGUGGGGAUGACGUCAAGUCAUCAUGGCCCUUACGACCAGGGCUACACACGUGCUACAAUGGCAUAUACAAAGAGAAGCGACCUCGCGAGAGCAAGCGGACCUCAUAAAGUAUGUCGUAGUCCGGAUUGGAGUCUGCAACUCGACUCCAUGAAGUCGGAAUCGCUAGUAAUCGUAGAUCAGAAUGCUACGGUGAAUACGUUCCCGGGCCUUGUACACACCGCCCGUCACACCAUGGGAGUGGGUUGCAAAAGAAGUAGGUAGCUUAACCUUCGGGAGGGCGCUA